Long non-coding RNA from Anneissia japonica, 1226 nucleotides. RefSeq lists it as uncharacterized. Lineage: Eukaryota; Metazoa; Echinodermata; Crinoidea; Comatulida; Comatulidae. The record is from RefSeq and is a predicted model, not a curated record. The transcript is spliced from 3 exons.
GAAGAAUAUGACUUUGCUAUUGCAGCGGUGAGGGAAGGUGCUGGGGGUGAAGGUCCAAGGGGAAGUAAUGAGCUAACUGUAUCAACAGUUUGUGGAGAACCAUCAGCACCAGUAGUCAACGCAAAUUCGAGUAACAAAUUUGCUAAAAGGAUCAACAUUUAUUUGCAACGAUUAACGGUUACCGAGUCCAAGUGUUCAACUGGUGUAGACAGUUAUACGAUAUCCUAUAGACCUGUUAAUACAGACGUGUCUAUGAUCACUGAGAAAACAACCAUUAAUGAUUUUUAUACAAUAAUGGAACUUCAAACAUACACAGAAUACAGCAUCUCUGUAACAGCAAGUAACAAAGACUUCCCUGGAAUGGCAAGAGUGGUACAAGUGUUUUUUCACCUGAAGAGAGUUAGUGCUCUUUCUAACCUCUGUCCACACUAUCAAUUUUAUUAUACCUUUAUAAAUGUUGUGGUAUGGCACUUUCAUGCAAAUUUAAGGAAGAAUCACAGAUUUUUGUCACAUAAAACGUAAUAGUGUGACCAGAGCUUAACAAUAAGCUUAGACAAAACUAAUUACUAAUGUUAAUAUUUGGGAACAACCAUUGUUUUUUCAGAAGUCACUAUUACAAGGCUCAUAUAAAGUUUUAUUGACUUAAAAUUAUAACUAAGUGAAAACAAAUAGAUUAACAUACAAAUCAAAUAGAUAAAAUUUGGACUUUAUAGAUUUUAGAACCAGGUGUAUGUAAAAAUAGAACGUGUAUAAUGGAAUCACUUGUACUAUAUGUUGAAUACAGGCAUAUGAAUCAAAUUGGCGAUGGCAAUACUAUAGUAAAAAUAAGACAUGCAGGAAAUGUACAGUGACAAAUGCCAAUAAUAUCUUAUUACGAAAAUACUACGUAAGUUUCCAUAUGUCAUUUUUUUCAGCUUCGUAGUUACAGAGUGCAACCAGGUUUAAUACAAAAUGCGAGAUAACCUUCAUAUUAUUACAACAUGUGAAAAUUAAUUACGAUAGAGAUAAGUAUCUCUAUGGUUCCGCAAAGUAUUAUGAUUUUAUCAAUGUACAAUAUACGUUUCAUAAUGACAUUUUAUGUCAUGCAAACCUUCAAACGACAUUUCAUCACUUCAAUAAUUUUCACUGUUUAAUUUUCCAGUACCUCCAGUUCCAGGAGUCUCAGCAACACAGGAUGAUUCAUUCCUCACCGUUUAUGUGUACCCAUCUGAGUCAUUCAGCAGAAA